CUGUGGUUCUACAAGUAUUCAAGUGAAAAAUGUUAACCCCUUCCUUGCCUUGUGAGAUGAGUGAACCCCGAGCAGUCAGACUCCUGAGAGAGAAUAGACAAGAGCUGUUCAAUAUUGGAGAAAAAACAGGAUUCUAAAGGUCCCCAGCAGCUAAGGACACAAAUGAGAGCUGAGCACUCUCAGCCAUUCCCCUUUCACCUCAGUUCACAAUUCAAGCUGGGCAACGUUGUACAAGAGUAAACAUUGCUGCA
Molecule: long non-coding RNA, 251 nt
Organism: Mauremys reevesii (Reeves's turtle)
Lineage: Eukaryota; Metazoa; Chordata; Testudines; Geoemydidae
Exons: 3
Source: RefSeq, a predicted model, not a curated record